CGGACCCUGAAUUUGUGCUUCUGGAGGAUCUGAAAGACAAAACAUUGACCCAUGAGUAUACAGGGAACUCUGUACCUAAAAUACAAGUUGCUAAUGGUGGCAUACAGUAUAAACACUAGUGCUCAGUAGCUCUCUAGGUAUACAUGGUGAACUUCGCUUGCGAACCAUCUUGCUGGUUUUAACAAUGGUGAAAGAUGAAGAAACCUGAUCAAGGGUGUAUGUAGCUGGUUUCUCUCUGUACCAGAAUGAGGAACCAGGAGGUCAGGCAUCUGUUGAACUGAACCUUCUGACCUGAAAUACUAUGAAAUCCAAAAUACUUCAGCUAAAUUAGACCCUUAUAUUUUGUGUUUGGUAGUAUUUCUUCUGGCUUGUCAUUCUUCUAUUGUUACUUUAUUUUUUUAGUGUUAUAUCUUAAGCCUGUUUAAACCAUGUUUCUGCUCAGGGUAUAUGUAAUACCCGUAUGGGCAACUUAAAGCUGAUAUUCUUUCAGCAGGAAAAUAUCAUACCAGCAGAGCUAAGGAUUUAGGUAGAGCCUUCUUGUACAUGCAGUUAUGCUUUCCCCCACCUUCAAAAAAGCCAUUGUUACUUUGGAAUCCACAUUUAUAAAAUUUUUCUUUACACUGAUCCUUCAAGCUUUUUCUGGUGCAUCUGUUCUAUUGCCCUGCAGCACUUUCAGUAAUACCUGAACUUGGAAACACCUUAAUAAAACAGAGGUAAAUACAAAGAGAACACUGAACAUUAAAAGACCCAAUCAUUCUACAUGUGAAUG
This is a long non-coding RNA of Falco peregrinus (peregrine falcon), 769 nucleotides long. RefSeq lists it as uncharacterized. The record is from RefSeq and is a predicted model, not a curated record. NCBI's taxonomy places the organism in Eukaryota, Metazoa, Chordata, Aves, Falconiformes, Falconidae. The transcript is spliced from 4 exons.